This 713-nucleotide ribosomal RNA is filed under the name uncultured Cyphobasidiales. RNAcentral describes it as "eukaryotic LSU rRNA". The record is from RNAcentral. Lineage: Eukaryota; Fungi; Basidiomycota; Cystobasidiomycetes; Cyphobasidiales.
AUGAUUUGAGCUGUGGGCUNGGAUUGUGGCUGUUUGCUGGCUUUAAGUAGCCGGCUCGGCUGAAAUACACGAGCAACCGCAUGAAUUAACAACGGCUUGNCUCGGCGNAAUAAUUAUUUCGCUGAGGACGUUUCCCAAUUCUAAAGGUGCUUCUAAUGCAUUAGCNAUAAUCUUUUAAGCUUUAGACCUCAAAUCAGUCAGGACUACCCGCUGAACUUAAGCAUAUCAAUAAGCGGAGGAAAAGAAACUAACAAGGAUUCCCCUAGUAACGGCGAGUGAAGUGGGAAAAGCUCAACUUUGAAAUCUGGCAGCUUUGCUGUCCGAGUUGUAGUCUCGAGAAGUGUUUUCCGUGUUAAACCGUGUAUGAGUCUGUUGGAACACAGCGUCAUAGAGGGUGAGAACCCCGUUCAUGACACGGCUUUUAAUGCUUUGUGAUACACUUUCGAUGAGUCGAGUUGUUUGGGAAUGCAGCUCAAAAUGGGUGGUAAAUUCCAUCUAAAGCUAAAUAUUGGCGAGAGACCGAUAGCAAACAAGUACCGUGAGGGAAAGAUGAAAAGCACUUYGGAAAGMGAGUUAAAAGUACGUGAAAUUGUUGAAAGGGAAACGAUUGAAGUCAGACGUGCGCGGUACUUGUACCACUGCAGGCCAGCAUCGGUUUCCCGAGCCGGAUAAAGGUUUGGGGAAGGUAGCAGUNUCGGCUGUGUUAUAGCCUC